AACCUCCGCAAUGUGAGAAAUCGCGACGGGGGGAUCCCAAGUGCCAUUCUUAACGGGAUGGCUUUUCAUUAGUGUAAAGAGCUUUUGGAAUAAGAGCUGGGCAAGACCGGUGCCAGCCGCCGCGGUAACACCGGCAGCUCUAGUGGUAACAAUUUUUAUUGGGCCUAAAGCGUCCGUAGCCGGUUUAAUAAGUCUCUGGUGAAAUCCUGUAGCUUAACUGUGGGAAUUGCUGGAGAUACUAUUAGACUUGAGACCGGGAGAGGUUAGAGGUACUCCCAGGGUAGAGGUGAAAUUCUGUAAUCCUGGGAGGACCGCCUGUUGCGAAGGCGUCUAACUGGAACGGUUCUGACUGUGAGGGACGAAAGUUAGGGGCGCGAACCGGAUUAGAUACCCGGGUAGUCCUAACUGUAAACGAUGCGGACUUGGUGUUGGGGUGGCUUUGAGCUGCUCCAGUGCCGAAGGGAAGCUGUUAAGUCCGCCGCCUGGGAAGUACGGUCGCAAGACUGAAACUUAAAGGAAUU
This 521-nucleotide ribosomal RNA is filed under the name uncultured bacterium. RNAcentral's name for it is "bacterial SSU rRNA". It matches the Rfam family "Archaeal small subunit ribosomal RNA", at positions 345 to 866 of the family's 1478-position model. The record is from RNAcentral.